RNAcentral lists this transfer RNA (76 nucleotides) under Actinomycetes bacterium. RNAcentral's name for it is "Actinobacteria bacterium tRNA-Thr". It matches the Rfam family "tRNA". Rfam says of the family: Transfer RNA (tRNA) molecules are approximately 80 nucleotides in length. Their secondary structure includes four short double-helical elements and three loops (D, anti-codon, and T loops). Further hydrogen bonds mediate the characteristic L-shaped molecular structure. tRNAs have two regions of fundamental functional importance: the anti-codon, which is responsible for specific mRNA codon recognition, and the 3' end, to which the tRNAs corresponding amino acid is attached (by aminoacyl-tRNA synthetases). tRNAs cope with the degeneracy of the genetic code in two manners: having more than one tRNA (with a specific anti-codon) for a particular amino acid; and 'wobble' base-pairing, i.e. permitting non-standard base-pairing at the 3rd anti-codon position. Lineage: Bacteria; Bacillati; Actinomycetota; Actinomycetes. The record is from RNAcentral.
GCCGGAGUAGCUCAGUUGGUAGAGCACUGGUUUUGUAAACCAGGUGUCGUGGGUUCGAGUCCCGCCUCCGGCUCCU